ACGGAUCUGAGCAAAUCUCCCCAUGGUCACAGUAAGAAAGUUCAUCCUAAGAAAUUUGGUCGUGAUUCAAGCCGAGACCUUAGCGUUCCAGUGUUGAUUCGGACUAUUAGAAGAUUGACAAAGGAGAAGGUGCUAAAAAAGGAAGAAAAUAUCAACCAGCUCACAAAUGAUUUGCAAGAAUGCAUG
Molecule: long non-coding RNA, 186 nt
Organism: Capsicum annuum
Lineage: Eukaryota; Viridiplantae; Streptophyta; Magnoliopsida; Solanales; Solanaceae
Exons: 3
Source: RefSeq, a predicted model, not a curated record